UACGUAGGUGGCAAGCGUUAUCCGGAUUUAUUGGGUGUAAAGGGCGUGUAGGCGGGAGCGCAAGUCAGAUGUGAAAACUCAGGGCUCAACCCUGAGCCUGCAUUUGAAACUGUGUUUCUUGAGUGCUGGAGAGGCAAUCGGAAUUCCGUGUGUAGCGGUGAAAUGCGCAGAUAUACGGAGGAACACCAGUGGCGAAGGCGGAUUGCUGGACAGUAACUGACGCUGAGGCGCGAAAGCGUGGGGAGCAAACAGG
Molecule: ribosomal RNA, 253 nt
Filed under: uncultured bacterium
Lineage: Bacteria
Description: partial 16S ribosomal RNA
Rfam family: Bacterial small subunit ribosomal RNA
Source: RNAcentral